UGUGUAGGAUAGGUGGGAGGCUUUGAAGCGUGGACGCCAGUUCGCGUGGAGCCAUCCUUGAAAUACCACCCUGGCAUGCUUGAGGUUCUAACUCUGGUCCGUGAUCCGGAUCGAGGACAGUGUAUGGUGGGCAGUUUGACUGGGGCGGUCUCCUCCUAAAGAGUAACGGAGGAGUACGAAGGUGCGCUCAGACCGGUCGGAAAUCGGUCGCAGAGUAUAAAGG
RNAcentral lists this ribosomal RNA (223 nucleotides) under Pseudomonas aeruginosa. RNAcentral describes it as "partial 23S ribosomal RNA". It matches the Rfam family "Bacterial large subunit ribosomal RNA", at positions 2135 to 2357 of the family's 2925-position model. Lineage: Bacteria; Pseudomonadati; Pseudomonadota; Gammaproteobacteria; Pseudomonadales; Pseudomonadaceae. The record is from RNAcentral.